UUACCCCUAUGUUCUAUUUUAAGCUGUUGCGGCCAUCUUGGUUGGGUGGGUGGGUCACGCCACACAUUUUUUAAACUAGAUACCCAAAUGAUAGUUGUGGCCAAGUUUAGUUUAAUUUGGCCCAGUUGUUUCAGAGGAGAAGAUUUUUGUAAAAGAUUACUAAGAUUUACGAAAAAUGGUUAAAAAUUGACUAUAAAGGGCAAUAACUCUUAAACGGGUCAACUGACCAUUUCGGUCAUGUUGACUUAUUUGUAAAUUUUACUUUGCUGAACAUUAUUGCUGUUUACAGUUUAUCUCUAUCUAUAAUAAUAUUCAAGAUAAUAACCAAAAACAGCAAAAUUUCCUUAAAAUUACCAAUUCAGGGGCAGCAACCCAACAACGGGUUGUCCGAUUCAUCUGAAAAUUUCAGGGCAGAUAGAUCUUGACCGGAUGAACAAUUUUGCUCAGUCAGAUUUGCUCUAAAUGCUUUGGUUUUUGAGUUAUAAGCCAAAAACUGCAUUUUACCCCUAUGAUCUAUUUUAAGCUGUUGCGGCCAUCUUGGUUGGGUGGGUGGGUCACGCCACACAUUUUUUAAACUAGAUACCCUAAUGAUAGUUGUGGCCAAGUUUGGUUUAAUUUGGCCCAGUUGUUUCAGAGGAGAAGAUUUUUGUAAAAGAUUACUAAGAUUUACGAAAAAUGGUUAAAAAUUGACUAUAAAGGGCAAUAACUCUUAAAGGGGUUAACUGAACAUUUCGGUCAUGUUGACUUAUUUGUAAAUCUUACUUUGCUGAACAUUAUUGCUGUUUACAGUUUAUCUCUAUCUAUAAUAAUAUUCAAGAUAAUAACCAAAAACAGCAAAAUUUCCUUAAAAUUACCAAUUCAGGGGUAGCAACCCAACAACGGGUU
Molecule: long non-coding RNA, 885 nt
Filed under: Mytilus galloprovincialis (Mediterranean mussel)
Lineage: Eukaryota; Metazoa; Mollusca; Bivalvia; Mytilida; Mytilidae
Source: RNAcentral